UGCCAGCCGCCGCGGUAAUACGGAGGGUGCAAGCGUUGUUCGGAAUUACUGGGCGUAAGCGCACGUAGGCGGAUUAGUAAGUUAGGGGUGAAAUCCCGGGGCUCAACCCCGGAACUGCCUCUAAUACUGCUAGUCUUGAGUUCGAGAGAGGUGAGUGGAAUUCCGAGUGUAGAGGUGAAAUUCGUAGAUAUUCGGAGGAACACCAGUGGCGAAGGCGGCUCACUGGAUGAGUAUUGAUGCUGAGGCGCGAAAGCGUGGGGAGCAAACAGGAUUAGAUA
This 278-nucleotide ribosomal RNA is filed under the name uncultured bacterium. RNAcentral's name for it is "partial 16S ribosomal RNA". It matches the Rfam family "Bacterial small subunit ribosomal RNA", at positions 506 to 784 of the family's 1533-position model. The record is from RNAcentral.